RNAcentral lists this ribosomal RNA (3658 nucleotides) under Triticum aestivum (bread wheat). RNAcentral describes it as "partial small subunit ribosomal RNA". Lineage: Eukaryota; Viridiplantae; Streptophyta; Magnoliopsida; Poales; Poaceae. The record is from RNAcentral.
AUCGGGGGUGAGAGGAGAAUGGGAAUGGUCAGGUCACCAAGAUAAAUGGAGGAGCGGAAAGGUUAGAUCAAAUCCAGCCAAGCAAUCCCGAUAUCCUCAACCUCCCCCUCCAUUGGACCAGAAGCGCACGGCCAAGACCCGCCGCAACAACAACGCCAGGCACCAAACAAAAAAACCAAUCACUCCAGAAAGUUACGCAGAAAGAAAAGAGGAGGAGAAAAAAACCACCUCCUCUGGCUCGUGCGCGUGCGCCUGCGCUCACUCCAGUCCGAGGCGAGAAAAGAAAAAUCGCCUGACCCAAUCCAAUCCAGCGCAGCGCCACUGUUCCCGGGAUUCUCGAGAGGCUGAGCUACCCGGUUCUUGGCUGACUACAUGGUUUCUUCGGCGUGUUCUUGAUCCGAGGAGUGGGAGGCGGGGUUUUCUUUCUUGGAUAGGAGGUGGUGGUUCUUGGACAGGAGGGGAUAGGGUUGUGGGUUGGCCGGCCAUGUCGGUCUCGUCCUCCUCCAUGUGCGGCGGGGACGCCGGGAUGAAGUGCGUGGUCUGGUUCCGGAGGGACCUCAGGGUGGAGGACAACCCGGCGCUGGCGGCGGCGGCGCGCACCGCCGGCGAGGUGGUGCCGGCGUACGUGUGGUCGCCGGAGGAGGACGGCCCCUACUUCCCCGGCCGCGUGUCGCGGUGGUGGCUCAGCCAGAGCCUCAAGCACCUGGAGGCCUCGCUCCACCGCCUCGGCGCCGCCAAGCUCGUCACCCGGAGGUCGCCCGACUCCGUCGCCGCGCUGCUCCAGCUCGUCCGCGACACCGGCGCCACGCACCUCUUCUUCAACCAUCUCUACGGUUUGCUUCCUUUUCGGUUCAAAAUAUAUGCCUUGCUUGUGUUUGCUCGUGCGCGUGUUUUCUAAACAACACAAGAAAUACUACUCUUGUCGGCCGACAUCUCCUGUCGAUGAUCCAAAUCUGUGGUUUAUUACCGCUAUUUCUCUUGAACUUCUUUAAAUUUGCUAGAUGAAACGAAGCAGCAUCUUUUAUAUUUGUUGUUCUUAUUUGUGAGCUUGCAUCUGAUUUGCUCAGGUUGAACCAGAUCUAUAUUAUACUACUACAGUAGUACUAUGUUAUCAUGUCAUAUCACAUCCCAAUUUAUUAUGCUUUCCGGUGAUAUGGCACAACUCAUGGCAAGUCAAUUGGAGUAGCGAGUCCCAAUUUAGCAAUCUUGCGUUUACGCUUCCAUACUAACUAGGUAUAAACUAUGAACAUUUCCAGCAACUCCGUCCUUAAUUGCCAACAGUUCUUGAUGCCACCAACCAACCAAAUCAUUUUUUCUUUUCGAGGGGUACACCAACCUACCAAUUCAACGAGGCAGUAACCGUAUCUAGCUGUAUUCUCCGUUUAGGCACUUGCACUUUCUGCUACAGUCUCAGUUAAUUGCUUGUGCUGAGACUCCUCAUCCAUUAUCUAACUCAAGAAUCAGUCAAUCACUGUGUCUUGGCCAUCUUUUCAGACCCGAUCUCGCUGGUCAGGGACCACCGUCUCAAGGAGAUGAUGACGGCAGAGGGCAUCGUCGUGCAGUCUUUCAAUGCCGACCUGCUGUAUGAUCCAUGGGAGGUCAACGAUGAUGAAGGCCAGCCGUUCAACAUGUUCAUGCCGUUCUGGAACAGGUGCCUCAGCAUGCCGUAUGACCCCCCCGCGCCACUGCUGCCCCCUAAGAGAAUCAACUCAGGUGACCUAUCCAUGUGCCCAUCAGACGAUCUGAUUUUUGAGGAUGAGUCGGAGAGGGGAAGCAAUGCCCUUCUGGCACGAGCAUGGUCACCAGGCUGGCAGAACGCGGAUAAGGCGCUAUCUGCCUUCCUGAACGGCCCUUUGAUUGACUACUCGGUGAACCGCAAGAAGGCAGACAGCGCAAACACCUCCCUCCUUUCACCUUACCUGCAUUUUGGCGAGCUGAGUGUGCGCAAGGUUUUCCACCUUGUUCGAGUGAAGCAACUCGUGUGGAGCAACGAGGGCAACCACGCAGCUGAGGAGAGCUGCACUCUGUUCCUCCGAUCUGUCGGUCUCCGGGAGUACUCACGGUAUCUUUGCUUCAACCAUCCAUGCAGCCAUGAGAAGCCCCUCCUUGCACACCUCAGGUUCUUCCCUUGGGUGGUCAACGAAAGCACCUUCAAAUUUUGGCGCCAGGGACGGACUGGUUACCCUCUUGUUGAUGCUGGCAUGAGGGAGUUGUGGGCAACUGGAUGGCUGCAUGAUCGGAUACGUGUGGUAGUUUCAAGUUUUUUCGUCAAGGUCCUUCAACUACCAUGGCGAUGGGGGAUGAAGUAUUUUUGGGACACUUUACUGGAUGCUGAUCUUGAGAGUGAUGCACUUGGUUGGCAGUACAUCUCUGGCUCGCUCCCUGAUAGCCGGGAGCUCGACCACAUUGACAACCCUCAGCUCGAAGGCUACAAGUUUGAUCCACAUGGGGAAUAUGUCCGACGGUGGCUUCCUGAACUUGCAAGGCUGCCAACAGAAUGGAUACACCACCCAUGGGAUGCACCUGCCUCUGUGCUGCAAGCUGCAGGAGUUGAGUUGGGCUCCAACUAUCCUCUCCCCAUAGUUGAGCUAGAUACAGCCCAGGUCAGGCUGCAAGAAGCCCUGUCAGAAAUGUGGCAGCUUGAGGCAGCAUCCAGGGCCGCAAUGGACACUGGAAUGGAGGAAGGCCUGGGCGACUCAUCGGAGGUGCCACCAAUCGAAUUUCCCCAAGAUUUGCAGAUGGAAGUCCAUUGGGAACCAGCCCGGGUAGCGCCCAAUGUGCUCACAACUGCACAGAGACGCCAGGAUCAGAUGGUGCCUACCAUGACAGCUUCACUCAACAGGGUUGAAACAGAAAUUUCUGCUGAUUUGGGGAAUAGCGUGGAUAGUAGAGCAGAGGUUCCGUUCCGCAUGCAUUUUGAGCCACGGACUGAGAGGGAGGAAGUGAUUCAAAGCACGGGCAAUGCAGCUGGAACUAAUGGCAUUCACCACCACAAUAACUUUCAGCAACCUCAGCACCGUAUGAGAAAUAUUUUUGCGCCAUCUGUGUCUGAAGCGUCAAGUAGCUGGACCGGGAGAGAUGGUGGCGUGGUCCCAGUUUGGUCGCCUCCUGCAGCAUCAGGCCAUUCCGAAACUUAUGGAGCCGAUGAAGCUGAUGUUUCUAGUAGGAGUUAUUUGGAUAUGCAUCCUCAGUCACACCGGAUAAUGAACUGGCAUCAGCUAUCACAGUCAUUGACAACAGGCAGGGACGUGGAGAACUCCGUGCAGCCAAAUUUCAUCGGUUAGAGUUUUCCGGACGCAGAGUGGAGACUCGCAGACCUGUGAUGUAUAGUCGGAGGAGCGUGCAAGGCAGGCGUCUUCGUGGAAGCGAUAAUAGCUAUGUAAAUCUAAUCCUCUAGAACCUGCAAGGAUAUAUGCGUUAUAUAUAGCUUUGCUAGAGUUGGUCGAAAAAGGAUGUGUAUUAUUGAUCAUCAGACAAUUGAGGGUUUCCUAGUGGGGGAUGCUUAUAUUUUUUUUGUAGGGUGUGUGUUAUUAUAUGUCUAUAGCUGCAAACUCCCCUGUGAUUGGCAAUCUUUGGUUACUCCUGGACGGUUUUGUGCAAUCAGAAUGUAUAUAUUGACAUUACCUGCUGCUGCUAUCACUAACUGUGUGAUGUGGAU